Molecule: ribosomal RNA, 600 nt
Filed under: uncultured bacterium
Lineage: Bacteria
Description: bacterial SSU rRNA
Rfam family: Bacterial small subunit ribosomal RNA
Source: RNAcentral
AACUGCCUGAUGGAGGGGGAUAACUACUGGAAACGGUAGCUAAUACCGCAUAACGUCGCAAGACCAAAGAGGGGGACCUUCGGGCCUCUUGCCAUCAGAUGUGCCCGGAUGGGAUUAGCUAGUAGGUGGGGUAAUGGCUCACCUAGGCGACGAUCCCUAGCUGGUCUGAGAGGAUGACCAGCCACACUGGAACUGAGACACGGUCCAGACUCCUACGGGAGGCAGCAGUGGGGAAUAUUGCACAAUGGGCGCAAGCCUGAUGCAGCCAUGCCGCGUGUGUGAAGAAGGCCUUCGGGUUGUAAAGCACUUUCAGCGAGGAGGAAGGUGGUGAGCUUAAUACGCUCAUCAAUUGACGUUACUCGCAGAAGAAGCACCGGCUAACUCCGUGCCAGCAGCCGCGGUAAUACGGAGGGUGCAAGCGUUAAUCGGAAUUACUGGGCGUAAAGCGCACGCAGGCGGUUUGUUAAGUCAGAUGUGAAAUCCCCGGGCUCAACCUGGGAACUGCAUUUGAAACUGGCAAGCUAGAGUCUCGUAGAGGGGGGUAGAAUUCCAGGUGUAGCGGUGAAAUGCGUAGAGAUCUGGAGGAAUACCGGUGGCGAA